GUGCUCUCUUUGGCAGCAUAAAUACUAAAAUUGGAAUGAUACAGAGAAGAUUAGCAUGGUAUCUGCGCAAGGACGACACACAAAUUCAUAAAGCUUUCCAUACUUUU
Cynocephalus volans (Philippine flying lemur) is the source of this 107-nucleotide small nuclear RNA. The record is from RefSeq and is a predicted model, not a curated record. Lineage: Eukaryota; Metazoa; Chordata; Mammalia; Dermoptera; Cynocephalidae.